CAGUCGCCACGGAAUACGGAGGGCGCGAGCGUUACCCGGAUUUACUGGGCGUAAAGGGCGUGUAGGCGGCCUGGGGCGUCCCAUGUGAAAGGCCACGGCUCAACCGUGGAGGAGCGUGGGAUACGCUCAGGCUAGAGGGUGGGAGAGGGUGGUGGAAUUCCCGGAGUAGCGGUGAAAUGCGCAGAUACCGGGAGGAACGCCGAUGGCGAAGGCAGCCACCUGGUCCACUUCUGACGCUGAGGCGCGAAAGCGUGGGGAGCAAACCGGAUUAGAUACCCGGGUAGUCCCUGUCUCUUAUACA
This 301-nucleotide ribosomal RNA is filed under the name uncultured bacterium. RNAcentral describes it as "partial 16S ribosomal RNA". It matches the Rfam family "Bacterial small subunit ribosomal RNA", at positions 509 to 808 of the family's 1533-position model. The record is from RNAcentral.